RNAcentral lists this ribosomal RNA (253 nucleotides) under uncultured bacterium. Its description in RNAcentral is "partial 16S ribosomal RNA". It matches the Rfam family "Bacterial small subunit ribosomal RNA", at positions 524 to 776 of the family's 1533-position model. The record is from RNAcentral.
UACGGAGGGAGCUAGCGUUGUUCGGAAUUACUGGGCGUAAAGCGCACGUAGGCGGCUAUUCAAGUCGGGGGUGAAAGCCCGGGGCUCAACCCCGGAACUGCCCUCGAAACUAGGUAGCUAGAAUCUUGGAGAGGCGAGUGGAAUUCCGAGUGUAGAGGUGGAAUUCGUAGAUAUUCGGAAGAACACCAGUGGCGAAGGCGACUCGCUGGACAAGUAUUGACGCUGAGGUGCGAAAGCGUGGGGAGCAAACAGG